RNAcentral lists this microRNA precursor (153 nucleotides) under Pelobates cultripes (western spadefoot toad). The record is from RNAcentral. Lineage: Eukaryota; Metazoa; Chordata; Amphibia; Anura; Pelobatidae.
GGUGUGACUAGUGACAGAGAGAGGGGGUGACUAGUGACAGAGUGAGGGAGGGUGUCACUAGUGACAGAGAGAGGGAGGGGGAUGACUAGUGACAGUCACCACCUCCUUCACUCUGUCACUAGUCACCCCCUCCCUCACUCUGUCACUGUGUCA